GAUGAACGCUAGCGGGAGGCUUAACACAUGCAAGUCGAGGGGCAGCACGAGGUAGCAAUACUUUGGUGGCGACCGGCGCACGGGUGAGUAACGCGUAUGCAACCUACCCUGUACAGGGGGAUAACCCGGAGAAAUUCGGACUAAUACCCCAUGGCACUGCGUUUCAGCAUUGGGAUGCAGUUAAAGAUUUAUCGGUAUAGGAUGGACAUGCGUCUGAUUAGCUAGUUGGCGGUGUAACGGACCACCAAGGCGACGAUCAGUAGGGGUUCUGAGAGGAAGGUCCCCCACACUGGCACUGAGAUACGGGCCAGACUCCUACGGGAGGCUG
Molecule: ribosomal RNA, 328 nt
Filed under: uncultured Bacteroidota bacterium
Lineage: Bacteria; Pseudomonadati; Bacteroidota
Description: bacterial SSU rRNA
Rfam family: Bacterial small subunit ribosomal RNA
Source: RNAcentral